Molecule: ribosomal RNA, 274 nt
Filed under: uncultured bacterium
Lineage: Bacteria
Description: partial 16S ribosomal RNA
Rfam family: Bacterial small subunit ribosomal RNA
Source: RNAcentral
AUACGUAGGUCCCGAACGUUGCGCGAAAUUACUGGGCGUAAAGGGUCCGUAGGCGGUCUGGUAAGUGGAAGGUGAAAGCCUGGGGCUCAACUCCAGAAUUGCCUUCCAAACUGACGGACUUGAGGCAGGGAGAGGUCGGCGGAAUUCCCGGUGUAGUGGUGAAAUGCGUAGAUAUCGGGAGGAACACCAGUGGCGAAGGCGGCCGACUGGAACUGUCCUGACGCUGAGGGACGAAAGCCAGGGGAGCGAACCGGAGUAGAAACCCUAGUAGUCC